RNAcentral lists this long non-coding RNA (2254 nucleotides) under Homo sapiens (human). RNAcentral's name for it is "HSALNT0382277". The record is from RNAcentral. Lineage: Eukaryota; Metazoa; Chordata; Mammalia; Primates; Hominidae.
GCGAAGCCCUUUUCCCUAUUCCUGGAGCUGUGUUCCACCUGCCGCCUGGCACUCAGGCCCCACCCUUCCUGCUCUUGGUGCCUCAAGUAGUCUCCACCAACCCUGUGGUGUGGCCAGCCCCAUGCUGCUCAAGCUGCAGCAAAAGAGGAAGCAGACACUGCUCUCAAGAGUGUUGCAGCUUGAUCGGUAAAACAGCUACUUCUGUUGAAGAAUCUACCAGCCAUCGUGCCUCUUUGGGUACCUAUAGUCUUCCAUUUAUUUGAUAAUAAUAAACACAAACUUCAAGAGGAUGGUUUCUUCUUGGAGGGUGGGUGGGAAGAUCGGGGAGAGAAGAGGGUAAGAGCAUACAUUCUAAACUUUUGGGUUUUUAGAUUGGGUGGUCAGUUAAUGGAAAUUCAUUACAUUAUUGAAAAUAAAUUAUAAUUAAACAAUUAAAGAAAGCCAUGAUGGGUCAGUGAUGGCACUAGAGUACGAACCAAAGAUUAUGGUUCAGUUCUGAGCACUGCAAGAAAUUAUUACAAAGACAAAGAGCAUUUGCUGCACGCCAGGCAGGGUCCUAAGUGCUUUUGGUGAGGUGAGAUGGCAGAAUGAAGAGAGACUAGUCCUUGGCCUGGGGUGGGGGGUUGCUCUAUAGAGAGGUGAGGUCUGAACUGGGCUUCGAAGAAUGAUCAGAAAUCCUGGGCUAGAAGAGGAGGGAUUUGGGGUACUGGGCAGUGUUCAGAAGUGUUUGGGGGGCCCCUGUGGCCUGCCUCAUUUCUACCUAUUUUGGGCCCCAAGUUGGAGAUUCUUUUAAUCUGGCCGAAGAGCAGGACCAGCCUGGCAGCCAGGAGGCAGGAGACUCCGGCUUUGCAGAGGCCUCCCAGCCUCCCUCUCUACCCCCACUCCAGAGAGAGCAGCAGCAAGGAUGUGGUUCUCCCCAGUUUAGAGACAGAAAAACUGAGGCUUUGCUUUUGAUUAGAACUGAAAGGACCAGCCAAGGUCACCCAGACACUGGUGGGGGAUGGUAGUCAGGAACCCCACUCCUAAUUUUCUCCCCGUCUAGGCCUGCCAAGAGUGGUACUCCUGGGGCUCUGGGGCUGGGGGCCUGACCAGGAAUGGCCUGGCUGUGAGCACUGUGCUUUAUCUCCCUUGUGGGCCAACAUGUCCCAGCACAGUGUGUAUGUGUGGAAAGGUCUCAGUGGCUGCUCCCCCAGUCUCUCUAGAGCGCAUCUCCCCCAACCUCUCAGGCCUGCUUAGUCUAGGAGGCUAGGGCAGCAGGUUCAGGGGGUGGGGAGCCAUUGCUCCUUCUCUAGCAGCAGGACUGAAGAUGCAAGCCAGGUGCCUAGGAAGCAAACUUUAAUGAAGCACUCAUUCUCAGGGCUGUGCGAGCGCUCCGCUCCCGACACAGAGCCUCACAUUUUGUGCCCUGGCCACCUUGCCUGCCUCACUGUGGUCCUUGCCCUGCCCUGCAGCUCUGCCUCAGUCCCCGGGGCUCGGGGCUCUCACCCAGCUACCCUCCUUGGCAUCUGAGCUUUCUGCCUCUGCAGCCACGCCCCUGCCAUCUUCCUGCCUGGGAAGAUAAUGCGAUUGGGCACUGGUUCCAGGCCGUCUGGCUCCAGGGUGCAAGUGGGCCCUGUGCACUCAGCAGCCACCAGUAGGGCCCUUCUACCUCCUGACUUGCUGGUUGUUCACCUCCCCAGACCAAGGACCCCUGAGACACCAGCUCCUGUGCCUGUCCUAACCUCCCCCGAGAGCUGCUUCCUCCUUGCCUGUGAGAAGGCCUUAGCAGCAUGAGCCCAGCUGCUCUACCUUCUCCUCCCCUUCCUCCAGCAAGAAACUCCUGAGGCUGAGCCUCAUAACUUAUAUGAGGUCAGAGCAGCCCUCGAAGGUCCUGGCCAGCAGCCGGUGGAUUCAGAGCGGGGAGCCCUCUCAGAGUUUUCCAUCCUUCAGCCAACAAGUGAAGACCUGCUGUCUACACCACUGGGGCCGAGGGAGUGAACUUGCAGCUCCAGAAGCAGCACACACACAGGAGGUGUUGCUGUGGACCAGGAGGACUGCACACACGUUCAGAGCAGGAGAUAAAGGGGUCGAGGAAGGCCUCCGGGAUGAAGGGCCUUGAGCAGGACCCUGAGAACACAUUGGAUUUAGGACCCUGGCUGAUAUACCUGCUGUGUGAGCCCCUCUCCAUGGCCCAAUCUCUCGCCCCGCCUGAUGUCCUGGUAUUACUGCUGUCAUCGUCACCACCAGCCCCUUCACACCCCCAACUUUUAGUGAG